Molecule: long non-coding RNA, 361 nt
Organism: Mesoplodon densirostris (Blainville's beaked whale)
Lineage: Eukaryota; Metazoa; Chordata; Mammalia; Artiodactyla; Ziphiidae
Exons: 3
Source: RefSeq, a predicted model, not a curated record
CCAACUUCAGAGUCACACAGUGUUACACUUGGACCUACGUGGUUAUCACCAAAAUGAGGUUUCCAACACACUGUCCUGUUGGGGUUUAUUAUGAGGAAUUGGCUCACAUGAUUAUGGAAGCUGAGAAGUCCUAAGAUCUACUAUCUGAAAGCUGGAGACCCAGGAAAGCCAGUGGUGAAAUCCAAUCUGAAUCCCCGAAGGCCUGAAGGCCAGAGUGCAUGGUGUAAAUCCCUGUCCAAGGGCAGGAGAAGACAGAUGUCCCAGCUCAAGCAGUCAGCUUCCAGGUGAUGCUGCUGAGUUUCAGACCACACUUUGAGUAGCAAGACUCUAGAACAGUGAUUCUCAAACAGAUGAUUUUGGC